UCCUAGUUAACCUAGGCAGUCUCACUAGAGUUCCCAGCUUUACCUGUUGGCAACUAAUGAUAAGGGUUGCGCUCGUUGCGGGACUUAACCCAACACCUCACGGCACGAGCUGACGACAGCCAUGCAGCACCUGUUCAGCGGCCAUUGCUGGCUAUGAUGUCUCCACCAUAUUCCACUGUAUGUCAAGCCUGGGUAAGGUUCUUCGCGUUGCAUCGAAUUAAACCACAUGCUCCACUGCUUGUGCGGGUCCCCGUCAAUUCUUUUAAGUUUCACUCUUGCGAGCGUACUCCUCAGGCGGUAUACUUAUCGCGUUAGCUUCGAUACAAUUAGGGUUGAGUCCAAUUACACCAAGUAUACAUCGUUUACGGCAAGGACUAC
RNAcentral lists this unclassified non-coding RNA (378 nucleotides) under uncultured Chlamydiales bacterium. RNAcentral's name for it is "contains 16S-23S intergenic spacer region". Lineage: Bacteria; Pseudomonadati; Chlamydiota; Chlamydiia; Chlamydiales. The record is from RNAcentral.